UACGGGGGGAGCAAGCGUUGUUCGGAUUUACUGGGCGUAAAGGGCGCGUAGGCGGUCUUGCAAGUCCUGUGUGAAAUCCCUCGGCUCAACUGAGGAACUGCACAGGAAACUGCUUGGCUUGAGUUCGGGAGAGGGAAGCGGAAUUCCGGGUGUAGCGGUGAAAUGCGUAGAUAUCCGGAGGAACACCGGUGGCGAAGGCGGCUUCCUGGACCGACACUGACGCUGAGGCGCGAAAGCUAGGGGAGCAAACGGG
This 253-nucleotide ribosomal RNA is filed under the name uncultured bacterium. RNAcentral's name for it is "partial 16S ribosomal RNA". It matches the Rfam family "Bacterial small subunit ribosomal RNA", at positions 524 to 776 of the family's 1533-position model. The record is from RNAcentral.